GACAGAGGGUGCAAGCGUUGUUCGGAAUUACUGGGCGUAAAGCGCGUGUAGGCGGCUUGGCAAGUCGGGUGUGAAAGCCCUGGGCUCAACCUAGGAAGUGCACUCGAAACUGCUUCGCUUGAGUGUCGGAGAGGAAAGCGGAAUUCUCGGUGUAGAGGUGAAAUUCGUAGAUAUCGAGAGGAACACCGGUGGCGAAGGCGGCUUUCUGGACGAUAACUGACGCUGAGACGCGAAAGCGUGGGGAGCAAACAGG
This 253-nucleotide ribosomal RNA is filed under the name uncultured bacterium. Its description in RNAcentral is "partial 16S ribosomal RNA". It matches the Rfam family "Bacterial small subunit ribosomal RNA", at positions 524 to 776 of the family's 1533-position model. The record is from RNAcentral.